Ipomoea triloba (trilobed morning glory) is the source of this 835-nucleotide long non-coding RNA. RefSeq lists it as uncharacterized. The transcript has 3 exons. Lineage: Eukaryota; Viridiplantae; Streptophyta; Magnoliopsida; Solanales; Convolvulaceae. The record is from RefSeq and is a predicted model, not a curated record.
AGAAAUGAAAUCAAAAUAACAACCAUAUCCACCGUACCAGAUCGAAUUUCAAUUCCAAAUCCCCACGCUAGUAUUUUUCCACCAGAUCUCUGUCUAAUCUGGAUUAGAUACAAUCAUGCCCAGGUUCUGGUUCAUGCUGUUCCCGGCAAAGGAGUACAAGAUCGUAGUCGUUGGCCUGGAUAACGCCGGAAAAAGUAAAAACGACGACGCUUUACAAGUUACAUUUGGGAGAGGUGGUCACUACUCAUCCUACUGUUGGCAGUAACGUUGAGGAGCUAGUCUACAAAAAUAUACGAUUCGAGGAACUUCAUAGGUACGUACCAACCUCAGUUUGAUAGCACUUGUGGUGUUCAUGGGCCAUGAGUGUGUGCAAUAGUACAAUAUGCUCUGAAAGUGAAUUGAAACUUGAAGAUCUGCAGACACAUUCCUAUGAAUAUCUUGAACUUCAAGAACAGAUUUGUUGACAUGGCUUAACCUUUUGUGAACAUGGGUGUCCAUACUAUUAUCUGCCCCUUUCAAUCCUCUUGAGAAACACAAAUAAACGUAAAAUGUUUGCAAUUAAUUUAAUUCUUCAUGAAAUAUGGCUUUAAAAUGAUAUAAAGGAAAAUAAUAAUAAGUUAAUACCUCUUGUUUCUUGAAUUUUUUUCUUCGUUGUGCUUCAAUGUAAAUGUGAGAGGCUUUGUGAGACUUGAACAUGUAGUAUUUAUAGGGUAUUUCCCUCCCAAAUUUAGAUUCAAAAACACGUACUGCUGUCUAAUAUUUAUUUAUUAACUAUGCAGCAGUUUUCUGCAUCACAACUGCAUUAUAUAUAGAGAUAGAGAUUUUGAUUGCAUUA